RNAcentral lists this ribosomal RNA (468 nucleotides) under uncultured bacterium. RNAcentral describes it as "partial 16S ribosomal RNA". It matches the Rfam family "Bacterial small subunit ribosomal RNA", at positions 28 to 507 of the family's 1533-position model. The record is from RNAcentral.
GACGAACACUGGCGGCGUGCUUAACACAUGCAAGUCGAACGGAAAGGCCCUGCUUUUGUGGGGUGCUCGAGUGGCGAACGGGUGAGUAACACGUGAGUAACCUGCCCUUGACUUUGGGAUAACUUCAGGAAACUGGGGCUAAUACCGGAUAGGAGCUCCUGCUGCAUGGUGGGGGUUGGAAAGUUUCGGCGGUUGGGGAUGGACUCGCGGCUUAUCAGCUUGUUGGUGGGGUAGUGGCUUACCAAGGCUUUGACGGGUAGCCGGCCUGAGAGGGUGACCGGCCACAUUGGGACUGAGAUACGGCCCAGACUCCUACGGGAGGCAGCAGUGGUGAAUAUUGCACAAUGGGCGGAAGCCUGAUGCAGCAACGCCGCGUGCGGGAUGACGGCCUUCGGGUUGUAAACCGCUUUCGCCUGUGACGAAGCGUGAGUGACGGUAAUGGGUAAAGAAGCACCGGCUAACUACGUG